This 252-nucleotide ribosomal RNA is filed under the name uncultured bacterium. Its description in RNAcentral is "partial 16S ribosomal RNA". It matches the Rfam family "Bacterial small subunit ribosomal RNA", at positions 524 to 776 of the family's 1533-position model. The record is from RNAcentral.
UACGGAGGAUGCGAGCGUUAUCCGGAUUUAUUGGGUUUAAAGGGUGCGUAGGCGGACUGUCAAGUCAGCGGUAAAAUUGAGAGGCUCAACCUCUUCCCGCCGUUGAAACUGGUGGUCUUGAGUGGAUGAGAAGUACGCGGAAUGCGUGGUGUAGCGGUGAAGUGCAUAGAUAUCACGCAGAACUCCGAUUGCGAAGGCAGCGUACCGGCAUCCAACUGACACUGAGGCUCGAAAGCGUGGGGAGCAAACAGG